RNAcentral lists this transfer RNA (93 nucleotides) under Pseudomonadota bacterium. RNAcentral describes it as "Proteobacteria bacterium (activated sludge metagenome) tRNA-Ser". It matches the Rfam family "tRNA". Rfam says of the family: Transfer RNA (tRNA) molecules are approximately 80 nucleotides in length. Their secondary structure includes four short double-helical elements and three loops (D, anti-codon, and T loops). Further hydrogen bonds mediate the characteristic L-shaped molecular structure. tRNAs have two regions of fundamental functional importance: the anti-codon, which is responsible for specific mRNA codon recognition, and the 3' end, to which the tRNAs corresponding amino acid is attached (by aminoacyl-tRNA synthetases). tRNAs cope with the degeneracy of the genetic code in two manners: having more than one tRNA (with a specific anti-codon) for a particular amino acid; and 'wobble' base-pairing, i.e. permitting non-standard base-pairing at the 3rd anti-codon position. Lineage: Bacteria; Pseudomonadati; Pseudomonadota. The record is from RNAcentral.
GGAAGGGUGGCCGAGUGGUCUAAGGCGCACGCCUGGAAAGCGUGUUUAUCCUGUUUAGGGGUAACAAGGGUUCGAAUCCCUUUCCUUCCGCCA